UCCCAGACUCCUACGGGAGGCAGCAGUGGGGGAUAUUGCACAAUGGGGGAAACCCUGAUGCAGCGACGCCGCGUGGGCGAAGAAGUAUUUCGGUAUGUAAAGCCCUAUCAGCAGGGAAGAAGAAAUGACGGUACCUGAGUAAGAAGCACCGGCUAAAUACGUGCCAGCAGCCGCGGUAAUACGUAGGGGGCAAGCGUUAUCCGGAUUUACUGGGUGUAAAGGGAGCGUAGACGGUUACGCAAGUCUGGAGUGAAAGGCGGGGGCCCAACCCCCGGACUGCUUUGGAAACUGUAUAACUGGAGUGCAGGAGAGGUAAGUGGAAUUCCUAGUGUAGCGGUGAAAUGCGUAGAUAUCAGGAGGAACACCGGUGGCGAAGGCGGCCUGCUGGACUGCAACUGACGUUGAGGCCCGAAAGCGUGGGGAGCAAACAGGAUUAGAUACCCGUGUAC
This 449-nucleotide ribosomal RNA is filed under the name uncultured bacterium. RNAcentral describes it as "bacterial SSU rRNA". It matches the Rfam family "Bacterial small subunit ribosomal RNA", at positions 329 to 793 of the family's 1533-position model. The record is from RNAcentral.